This is an RNA transcript of Rosa rugosa (rugosa rose), 4706 nucleotides long. RefSeq lists it as uncharacterized. The transcript has 8 exons. Lineage: Eukaryota; Viridiplantae; Streptophyta; Magnoliopsida; Rosales; Rosaceae. The record is from RefSeq and is a predicted model, not a curated record.
UGUUGUAUGCUGUGAUUCCGCGAAAGCCCCAAAAUUUUUGGUCUCAGAGACUCUCUCUCUCUCAAAAUCUCCUCCGCUCCCAAAACCCUCACCACUGCCGCUGCUCCUCCUCCUCCACUCGCAACCGUUUCCCCGCCGCCCAGCCUUCCUUCUUCGUUUUAUCCGGCGGGACCGCCUUCAACAGCGUCAUCGAGGAGCUCAAGAAUUUCACCACUCGCGUCGCCCAAGUGCUUCCCGUUUCCGGCGACGGAGGAAGCACCACCGAGAUUGUCCGCGUCCUCACAGAGACUCAUUAUCUCAAAUCUACUCUUCAAAUCGGAUUUUGGGAGUCCGAUGCCGGCGGGGCAGGAAGAUCCACCGACGGCUGAGGUGAUAUCCAGAAAUCUGACGCCGUUAAUGGGAUGGUCCUUAGAACCGAAUAGAGAGAAGCCAGCUACUUCUCGUCGAACGCGAAGACAUCGAUGAUGAAGACGACCUCUUCGAAUCGAUCGAUAAGUGUAAGCUUCACAAACGUUUGCUCUGGUAAUUGAUUUCAGUUAAUUUUCAAAUUUCCGAUCGAUUUUCUUAGUUUUUUCUCGACUUCUCGCCGGAAUUGAGUGUGUUUGCUCCCAAUUCUAUGAUUAGAAGUAAAUUUCAAGUGAAAAUUGCUUCAGAAGUGACUAAAUCGAAGUUCUAAUGGAGCGAUGAGAUUUAUGUGCAAUGAUUGCUCAGGGAAUCAAUGCGGGAGAUGUUGAAGAUUCAGGACACAAGGAUCUACAUCUGGCAACUGCACCAAGAAGGUACGGUAGAAAUGAAUUACGAGCUCUUGCCAUUAAUCUUCUAUGUCCAAUUUUCUGUUUCUGUGUACUUGUGGACUGCUUUAUACAAAUCUAGCUGAGUUAUAUAUAUGAGAUAUUUCAUUGUAGAUUUCCUUUAUUACUAUAAACAAGAACAGUCAAAUCGAAGAGUGGUUAUUUAAGGUUUAAGGAGGGAUUUUAAAUUAGAUCAAAGGAGUUGAAUGCAAUAUAUACACUUAAAUUUUAAGGAGGGAUUUUAAAUUAGAUCAAAUGGUGGAGCCAUCAGAGGGUCCAGUCCAAGCUGAUGAUCAUGCAGGAAGCAAUAGUUUGAAAUCAAGGGAGUCCUCCGAUGCUAAAGAAGAAACCUCGAGACAAAAGAUUGUUAUUAAAGAGGAAAAGGCAGCUGUUGCAUCUAGGUAUAUGCAAGGUUUUUCGACAUUAAAUUCAAAAGCUAACUCACAAGAUUCUAGUGGAGGUGGGAAGCACAAUGAUAAUGAGAGUGGUGGUAAGAAGCAGGUUGGCAUGAUAAAAGGCAAACAGCAAGAGCUUAAUGGUCAGUGUUACAGGUACGCUCGAUAACUCCUUCCCACAGCAGAGCUGGUGCACUUUCAUUAAAGCCAGAAGCAGCUGUAUCGAACAAUCCCUCCUUAAAAUUUAAGUGUAUAUAUUGCAUUCCACCUAUUGUUAACCUUAAAAUUUUUGGGGUCCUGCAAGAUAUGCUUUGAAGAAACACACCGCUAACAGACAAGUGUAUUGCUUCUCCCCAUCUUCUGAGCGUAUUCCAGAUUGUAUAGCCUCCUCAUUGUCAAGGUAAGUAGCUCUUAUUAUCAAUGCACUCUAUUAUGUGCCCCUGUUUCUCUCUCUCUCUCUCUCUCUCUCUCUCUCCUUUUUUUCUCUACAGAACUUGAUGCUUUGGCCAAUAACCAUGAAACUAUUUCCAGGAAAUAGUGUAUUGCAACCAUCUAAUUGUUCUUGUGCACCAUUGAGUUUAGACUUCAGAGACACCAUGUAGAAUGUGGUAUAUUGUAGCUUUGAAUUGGCGUAUAUUGCUCAAUAUUGUUGUUUACGUUCAGGUGGAAGUAAUCUCUGUUUCUGUUAAGUGCAGAGGCUGUGAAGGAGCUAUAUGAUAAAAUGCUGAAAUCUGGAAUGCUAAAUGAUGUAAAGGGGAAUGACACUUUUAGAGGGGAAUGACUUAAUGGUGGAAGAAUCAAAUUGGAAGAGCAGAAAGAUGGAAAUGCAGCAAUACUGUGCACGUGAAUGGAAGUCCAUCUUAGGUGCAACAGCCGAUUCUGAAAAUUCUAAAGGCGGCUUUGACUGCAACAUCUGCUCAGACUUUUCACACGAGCCAGUGGUCACCCUCUGUGGCCAUCUGUACUGCUGGCCUUGCAUCUACAAAGGGCUUCACGUCCAGAGCGCCUCCCUUGCGUUUGAUGAGUGCCCUCAGUGCCCUGUUUGCAAGAAACAAGAUGUAUUUGAAGUGGAAUGUGGCAAUGUGCAGUGAAUGUUUUGAGGCAAUCCACCCCAGUGGCUUUACACUACCACUUUAAGGUUUAUUUUAUUUGUAUUGGUUUUGCUAUAAGCUUCAUUUGUGAUUGCUUCCACAGCAUUUGUUUGUAUGCUGCUUAACUUUUUAUACAAGUGAAGGUUCUCUUAUGAAAUUGCAACAAGCAAAGAAUUAGACAUAUGUGUUAUUCGUUUUUAUUUAUAAAGUUUUUGGGUGACAUUGGAACAACAAAGAAUAUUUUUUUUAUUUUAAAAAAAUUGAAUUUACGGCGUGCAAAGCAUGCCUUAAACUAAAAUUUACGGCAUGCUUUAAGGUCAUUUACGGCGUGCAUAUCAAGUUUAACGGCGUGUUUUUAGGUCAUUUACGGCGUGCUUUUGGGUUAUUUACGGCGUGCAAAUGCACGCCGUAAAAAGACAAAAAAAAUUUCGUUUUUUACGACGCGGUCUAUAAGGGCGCACUUUUGCACGGAUUUGCACGUCGUAAAUUUUCAUUUACGGCGUUUUUGGCACGUCGUAAAUGAUUCGUUUUCCUGUAGUGCAAGCAUGAUAUCAUGGGAAGCAAGGCCGACGCCUCAGUGCUCCCCAAACAGGUCAUUUACUUUCUUCAUUUUUCAAUUCUCUCAAUUUCUCAAUUUCUAGGGUUUGAUUUGGUUACUAUUAGGGAUUCAUCACUGUUUUGGGUUUUAGCGUUUAGGGCCCAGGCCGCCUAGGCGCUGGGCGGUGGGUCUCCGCCGCGAUUAAUGUCGAAUCGGUGGAGCUGGGCGGUUGGGGUUUCGGCGGCCACCUAGGCGGCCUAAACGGGCGACUGGGCGCCUGGGCGUCUGUGCGUUUGGGCGGAUUGGCCUGGGCGGUUCUGCCAUUAGAUUUGGUUUUGAUUUGGAUUCUUUUCGGCAACGACGGAGGUCCGAUCCUCAACUGCGAUAGAACUUUCUUGUGUUUCUGAGUUUUGGUGAGGUGGGUCGAUCUGAUUUUGGGGUGUGGAUUGGUGAGAUUAAUCAGUUUUGCUGAUUGGAUUCGGUGGAACAAAAAGUUAUAUGGGUUGGAUCUGAAAUAGUAUACCUGACCUGACUGACCUGAGUCUCUCUAUUUCUCUCUUCUCCUCAGAGUCCUUGUGUCGUGGAUGGAUACUCCCUCUUCUUCGAUAAGUUCAUGUCCAGGGAGGAAUCUGGGAAAUGGUUUGGAGAGAAGGUCCUUGUAUUAGCAAAUUGUUUUUGCAAUUGCCGUUUUUGUUACAAGUGGGCUUAUAAUGGAGUCAAAACUGGUCUUCAACAGCCCGUCAACGUUCUCUCCGUCAAUAAAAAUUUGAUGGUUUCUGAAGUAGUUUGCUGGUGGUUUUUGAAAUUCAAUGUUGAAUUGAUGUGUGUAUACAUAUAUGGAUUUAAUCGUGAUUAUAUAGAAUUGCAUUUUCUCUCUGCUUUCUGUUCUGUCAUGAAGAGAUUUAUAUUGUCAAUUGUAAAUCUAGGAUGGCCUUGGUCGAUUGGGUUUUCUAGAUAGCUAAGUUACAAGUCUGUUGUCAUUAUAAUUACAAAAUUUGACAAACUAAAUGGAAAAGGUAGAUAAUUCGGUUGUUUACUUGAUAUGUGCACAAAGGGUAGAUAAUUUUGGAGCUUCUGGGAAUUGAAGGAGGAAGAACACAGUAUUUAAACAAAUUGAUAGAGGUAUGACAAAUCAAAAUGGAGAUGGGCUGACAGCAUCAAGAACCAUCCUGAUAAGGGCGGAGAUCUAGAAAAAGUAUUCAUCUUUAUCUUUUUCCAUGAAUCCCUGAUUAGGGUUUUUCCAGAUUUGGGUAUUUAGUCCUAGACUCACCAAGGAUGGCAUUUUUGUCACAAAGGCUGGUCCUGCUGGAAUUCCAGCCACAAAGAAGUAUUCUCUUGCAUAUAUCUAAUUCAACUUGCAUAUGUGGAAGAGGCUGGUGAUCUGUACAGGGGAGAAAUGGAGGAAUCAGAAAUGUAGAGUUUGAUAAUGGAAGAAUUAGAGGAGAAAUAUAACUAAUGCAUACACCCUUGACUAUCAGUGAAGUUGAUCCCAUAUUAGCCUCCUUCUCUGGAGGAGCUGUGGGAGUGAUCUUAACACUGACGGUGGCUGAGAAGUGAGUUUAUUGUAUUUUGGUACAUUUGUACGGCUUUCACAUUGACAAAAUAUGGUAUGGAGUGAGUGGAUAUUCUGCAUUAAUUUUUAUUUCCAAAGGGAAACAAGGAUGAUAAAGAGUAUGGCGGAGGCUGAGAUUUAGAAGAUUUUGUAAAUGUCAUCAAUGAGAAAUGUAGGACGAGCAGAGAUGCGAAAGGGCAACUUACUUCCAAAGUCGGUACCAGUUUAACCAAUGAACAUGCCUCAUCAGUUUCUUUAUCAAUCAUUGGUGUAUAAUUGGUAGAAAAGUAUAUUUGAAUUUUGUUUCUUUAUAUGGAAUUUGAUGGUUUUUAGGUUUGA